AGUCACCGAAAUAAGUAUAGUGUACAAACUAAAAAAUGGAAUUUUGGGAAGUAUACAAGCGUUUUUUUUUUUUAAAUGAUUGCAUGUAAGCAAUUGCGACCUAUUUGUUCAUUGUUGAUCAGUACUUAUUAGUGACACCGGUACUUUUGUAGUACCGUUACUUUCUGUUUAAUUUGCGCACUUGUACAUUCAGAGCGAAAUAAUUAUAGCGUACAAUAAGGAAAAGUAUUCCGUAUCGGCAAGACGUACCAUUUACUCUGUAUUUUUAAGGAUUUUUAAAUAACUAAUUUAGAAAUGCCUCGCGGAACCCAUUUAUCGCUUGUUGAGCGCACUAAAAUUCAAACAAUGCGGGAAUGUGGAGCUACAAUAAGGGAUAUAGCUGAAAAAUUACAUCGCAACAAGAAAACAAUAUGUUCCUUUUUAAAAAAUCCCGAAAUUUAUGGUACAACAAAAAGAAAUGGACGUCCUCCAAAGGUUGAUGAACGGUCGAAACGGCAAAUAAAGCGUUUGGCAAUCACUAAAAACAUUUCCCCAGCAAAAAUUAGGCUCCAACUAAAUCUUGAAGUGUCCACCCGUCGAGUUCAGCAAAUUUUAAAAGAGAA
This is a long non-coding RNA of Bactrocera neohumeralis, 602 nucleotides long. RefSeq lists it as uncharacterized. The transcript is spliced from 2 exons. NCBI's taxonomy places the organism in Eukaryota, Metazoa, Arthropoda, Insecta, Diptera, Tephritidae. The record is from RefSeq and is a predicted model, not a curated record.